Molecule: long non-coding RNA, 1137 nt
Filed under: Cyanistes caeruleus (blue tit)
Lineage: Eukaryota; Metazoa; Chordata; Aves; Passeriformes; Paridae
Description: lncRNA (ENSCCEG00000012910.1)
Source: RNAcentral
GAGGGUGUGGGAAUUGGCAGGGUGCUGCUGAAUUCCAGUUUCAAGAGGUGGAUCCCUUUCCUGGGAUGGGCAGAGUGGAUUUCAUCCCUCCUGGCUGAAGCUCCCUCUCAGCUCUGCUAUGAUCCCACAUCCAACACCUGCAAGCCAAACAUAGCCUAGAUCAUCUCUGGAUAGGACUGGGGCAACUUUUGUACAGCUGUCAUUUUAAAGGAUAAUUACAAGCAUGACUUACAGGAUAAUAAGCAGAGAUAAAACUAAUUCCAGUAACCCAUCUCACUGUGGUGGAACCAGGGGAAAAACUCCUUUUCUGCGGUUUAUGGGAGGAAGGGAACAGUUGAGACUGAGCGCUGGUGCUGUCGUUGUCACUGAGUGCCUGAUGUCACCAUCUCAGCCAGGGCAUUCAGCAUCUUCCAGGAACCCAGGGCUGCAUCACAAAGGAACAACGGGAUAGAGGCACCAAACCCCUGCCUGGUUUUAUGCCUCAUAAACAAACUGCCUCGUAAAUAUGCCUUGUAAAUAAAAUAAAUAAAUACAGUAGUAGUGAUUUCCUUUGGUUUCAUCAGCUGAGAAGCUUACACCAAUGUGAGAUGCUGCCAAAAGUACUGGUCCUGUCCCUGCCCUUACUCCAGCCUUUCUCCCCAUCCUGGUUUUGGCUCAGCACUGUCAGUUUUUGGCUGGGCUCAUUCCAGCUUGCAGGUCGGUGGUGACAAGGGGAGGUAGAAAAGCUCUUCUGGAGCCCAAGCAUCCCCUUUUGAUACCACUCAUUUAUUUCUUCCUUAGCCCUCCUUAUGAAAUUUCCCACUGAGGACAUUUAUUUUCCCUCUCUCCUUUUUUUUUCAGCCACUUCAUUUAUUGCCAAUGAACUGAUUUGUUCAGGCUGAGAAGGGUCAGCAGAUAAUGGAAAUACAUGUUUAUGGGGAAAAGACAGUGCAAAUGCCAAGGAAAUAUGGCUGGGAGGCAGCUGGAAAGCCAAGGUGCAUCCAGCAACGUAGACAUGAUACACACAGGGACAUAGACAUGAUACACACAGGGAUCCCCAAGGACUGUGUGUGUGUAUGUAAUAUAAACAUCUAUUACUUAAAUGUUUCUAUAUAUUUAAUCUAUAUACAUUUAUAUUAUGGAUGUGCUAGAAAUGAU